This is a long non-coding RNA of Bufo bufo (common toad), 763 nucleotides long. RefSeq lists it as uncharacterized. The record is from RefSeq and is a predicted model, not a curated record. The transcript has 3 exons. NCBI's taxonomy places the organism in Eukaryota, Metazoa, Chordata, Amphibia, Anura, Bufonidae.
UGCCAUGAACCCACACAAGGUCAGCCUGGAAUUUGUGAGGGACAUAGAAAAAGUCAGUGCCUUCUUCAACAAGCUAUGUGACCAGAAGCUUGCCGACCAGACUAUUUUCAACUACCUGAAGAACGUACACAAAAUCAUGAGAUACAAUAUGAGAGCAACCAAUCUCUCUGACAAAAUGCCGAAGCUCUAAGUCCUGCGAAUCCUUCAGGACCGUUGCAGAAGAUAUACAGAAGAGAUUAUCCAAAGGAAUUUCGAAAGAAGUUGUCAGUAAAAGGUACCUGACACUGAAAAUUAAUAUGAAGACGCCAUACUGAAUGUAUGAAGCUCCUGGAUGUAGGAAAACCUUUCUUCUUACUUCUUAGAUGAAAUCAAGGCUGCCCAAGGACGAAUCCUAAAAAACACAUUCAAAACUUGAAAUCAUUUAUUAUCUUGAGGCCCUGCUGGUCCUCAAACAUUUACAGAGGCCAGGUGUAGUGGCAAAUAUGUCUGUAAGUAACGUUCUCCUUAGACAGAUAGAUCUUUUUGUAUCACUUACCAAAAUUACGAAAACUACAAAAUUUCUCUCUCUUAACCCAUAGGUUUCUGAGUGGAAAGACAGGAUCCAACACACCUAUAAAGAUACUGCGAGGUUUAUCAUUGGUGUUCGAAAUCACAAGACCGCUACGUAACAAGUUACUUCGUUUGUGCUAACUGAGGAGGAAUAAAUGUGGUUUAAAGUUUACUUUACGAAAGUUGCACCAACUCUGAUUAAAAGAGACACACC